Molecule: long non-coding RNA, 1004 nt
Organism: Rhincodon typus (whale shark)
Lineage: Eukaryota; Metazoa; Chordata; Chondrichthyes; Orectolobiformes; Rhincodontidae
Exons: 2
Source: RefSeq, a predicted model, not a curated record
UGUGUCUGAGUGUUUGUGCCUGUAGCUCUGAGCAUGGUUCUGGGUGUGUUAUGUAUGUGUGUUAAUGUGUGUGUACAUGUCUGUAUGCGUGUGUAUCUCUCGCUAUGGCUGUGUCUGUAAUAUGCGUCCUUGUGCUAUUGCGUGUGGUGUAUGUAUUUGAUGGGGGAGGGGGAGAGAAAAUGCUGUGCCUGCCUGUAAUAAGAGCACUGCACAUGUGGCAUCAAGUAAGUUAUCCUGAGCUGACCCCUGGAUUCCAGUGUUUACUGUGUGACGCAUUAUGUCUGAGGGUCAGUGUGUCGAUAUAUUUUCAGGAAGCACAUCUGUCUACCUUCAAGGGACAUCAUCAUGAGUUCAUCGCUAUAUCACAGCAUGUGAACCAAGGGUAUAAAUCAGAACACCCAUUCAGUCUUUACUGAAAGAAACGCAAAUCAAAUUUCUGCAAAUUGCCCUUUAAUUUCAGUUCUCUAAGUCUUGAUAUUGUAGCCGCCGAAAAAAAAGUGGCCAGAAACUGUUCAUUAGGAAUAGAGAGUAGCUGCCCCUUCAUGUGUGCUGCAUUGAGAUAAACCUGCUCACAAGUCCUUUGGUUCCAACAAAGGUUCACCCACCAAAUCCUAGCGUCAUUUAAAAUGAACAUACACCAAAGGAAGUGACUGAAGAUUUAAUUAAACAGAAAUCAUGCCAAGUGUCCUCUUCCUUAAAGCGGAAUUCAGAAAGAGCUGGGUGCCAUUCGCUGUGAAAUGCAGAGAGGCAUCAAGCAACCAUUCUUCCUGUUUUUGUUGUAACGAUAAAGGUUUAUGCACACAAGUGAGCAAGAGUGGAAAAGCACUGAAGAUAACAGUCCCAGAUCAAGAGAUGAAGACAAAAUGGUUCACUCUAAUGAAACUAGAAAGUGAACUCAUAACUGCUGAAACUAAUUAUUUUUACCGUGUGUGACCUUUCAUUUACCAUAACUAUAUAAUUAGGGUGUAGAUGUCUUUGAAAUAUAAACAACAUGGCUGUUUCCA